This 371-nucleotide ribosomal RNA is filed under the name uncultured Glomeromycotina. Its description in RNAcentral is "LSU rRNA". The record is from RNAcentral. Lineage: Eukaryota; Fungi; Glomeromycota.
UUGAAAGGGAAACGAUUGAAGUCAGUCGUACCGACGAGAAAUCAACUUAUCGUGUGCGAACUUGUGGGCGUGCGUGAGUUUCGGCCUCGCUGUUUGCAUGUUUGUGUGCUUUGGGUGUACUUUUUCGUAUGGUAGGCCAACGUCAGUUUCGAUCACCAUAAAAUGACUGGCGGAAUGUAGCUUCGAUUUCGGUUGAAGUGUUAUAGCCUCUGGUAGAUGUGGUGAUUGGGACUGAGGAUUGCAACGAAUAUCCUUUGGGCUAUCCGUCUGAUCUCUGAAAGUUGCUCAGGUGCCGAAAGCGUGCUUACGGUUAUCUAAGUUGACGGUCAAUAGGUUAGAACGUGAUUACAUUCGUUAAGGAUGUUGACGUA